Molecule: ribosomal RNA, 808 nt
Filed under: uncultured beta proteobacterium
Lineage: Bacteria; Pseudomonadati; Pseudomonadota; Betaproteobacteria
Description: bacterial SSU rRNA
Rfam family: Bacterial small subunit ribosomal RNA
Source: RNAcentral
ACGCUGNGCGNGCAUGCCUUACACAUGCAAGUCGAACGGCAGCACGGGAGCAAUCCUGGUGGCGAGUGGCGAACGGGUGAGUAAUAUAUCGGAACGUGCCCAAUCGUGGGGGAUAACGCAGCGAAAGCUGUGCUAAUACCGCAUACGAUCUACGGAUGAAAGCGGGGGACUCGCAAGAGCCUCGCGCGAAUGGAGCGGCCGAUAUCAGAUAGCUAGUUGGCGGGGUAAAAGCCCACCAAGGCGACGAUCUGUAGCUGGUCUGAGAGGACGACCAGCCACACUGGAACUGAGACACGGUCCAGACUCCUACGGGAGGCAGCAGUGGGGAGUUUUGGACAAUGGGCGCAAGCCUGAUCCAGCAAUGCCGCGUGCAGGAUGAAGGCCUUCGGGUUGUAGACUGCUUUUGUACGGAACGAAACGGUCCUUUCUAAUAAAGAGGGCUAAUGACGGUACCGUAAGAAUAAGCACCGGCUAACUACGUGCCAGCAGCCGCGGUAAUACGUAGGGUGCGAGCGUUAAUCGGAAUUACUGGGCGUAAAGCGUGCGCAGGCGGUGAUGUAAGACAGAUGUGAAAUCCCCGGGCUCAACCUGGGACCUGCAUUUGUGACUGCAUCGCUAGAGUACGGUAGAGGGGGAUGGAAUUCCGCGUGUAGCANUGAAAUGCGUAAAUNUGCGGAGGAACACCGAUGGCGAAGGCAUCCCUGGACUGUACUGACGCUCAUGCACGAAAGCGUGGGGAGCAAACAGGAUUAGAUACCUGGUANUCCCCCCCUAAACNAUUUCNACUGGUUGUUGGGUCUUUACUGAC